GCCAAAAUUCUAGCCCCACCUUCCUUUAAUAAACCUCCCCAUCAGACUCACACUAAAUAAAACAUUUUUACUAUUUAGUAUAGGUGAUAAAAAAAUAAAUUGGAGCAAUACAAAUAGUACCGCAAGGGAAAGAUGAAAUAAAAAUGAAACAAAUAUAAAGCACAAAAAAGUAGAGACAUAACCUCGUACCUUUUGCAUCAUGGUUUAACAAGUCCAAUCAAGCAAAAAGACUUACAGUUUGACCCCCCGAAACUAAGCGAGCUACUUCAAGGCAGCUUAACGAGCUAACCCGUCUCUGUAGCAAAAGAGUGGAAAGACCUUCAAGUAGCGGUGAUAGACCUAACGAGCUUAGUGAUAGCUGGUUACUCAUGAAAAGGAUUUUAGUCCUCCCUAAAAUUAAAAUAAUCUAACAAAAUAAGCAACUAAAUUUUAGAGACAUUCAGAUAAGGUACAGCCUAUCUGAAACAGGAUACAACCUCAGCCAAUGGGUAACUCAUUUAAUUUUACUAAAAAGUGGGCCUAAAAGCAGCCACCCUUUAAAUAGCGUCAAAGCUUAUUCGUAAUUAAUUAAAAAUCCCUACACCUCCCACUAACCCUUCAACAGUACUGAGUAAUUCUAUAUUCCUAUAGAAACUUUUAUGUUAAAACUAGUAACAAGAAGAAGACCUUCUCUUAAAUGCAUCUGUAAAUCAGAAAGGACCAACCACUGAUAAUUAACUUCUAUGAACUCAAAGUAACAACUCAACUAGAAAAAAUUACUAACCAUAACGUUAACCUAACACAAGAGCAUUACAAGAAAGAUUUAAAGAGAAAGAAGGAACUCGGCAAGCAUUAACCCCGCCUGUUUAUCAAAAACAUCGCCUCUUGGANAAACAUAAGAGGUCCAGCCUGCCCAGUGACACUGUUCAACGGCCGCGGUAUCCUAACCGUGCGAAGGUAGCGUAAUCACUUGUCCUUUAAAUGAGGACUAGUAUGAAUGGCACCACGAGGGUUAUACUGUCUCCUUUCUCUAAUCAGUGAAACUAAUCUCCCCGUGAAGAAGCGAGGAUAUUUCUAUAAGACGAGAAGACCCUAUGGAGCUUUAAACAAAACAACAUCUGCUACUUUCACUUACCGAUUUCAGAAAAUUAACUCUUAUUUUAGCAUUAUACUUGUUAGUUUUAGGUUGGGGUGACCGCGGAGCAAAAAAUAACCUCCACAUUGAAAGGGACUUCCCCUAAGCAAAAAACCACAACUUUAUGCAUCAAUAAAUUGACAUUAAUUGACCCAAUAUUUUGAUCAACGAAACAAGUUACCCUAGGGAUAACAGCGCAAUCCACUUUGAGAGUCCAUAUCGACAAGUGGGUUUACGACCUCGAUGUUGGAUCAGGGUACCCCAGUGGUGCAGCCGCUACUAAAGGUUCGUUUGUUCAACGAUUAAAACCCUACGU
This 1430-nucleotide ribosomal RNA is filed under the name Gastrotheca sp. Its description in RNAcentral is "partial 16S ribosomal RNA". It matches the Rfam family "Bacterial large subunit ribosomal RNA", at positions 371 to 2601 of the family's 2925-position model. The record is from RNAcentral. Lineage: Eukaryota; Metazoa; Chordata; Amphibia; Anura; Hemiphractidae.